CGCCUGUUUUCAAAAACAUGCUUAUUUCUUGAAUUUAACUUUUAAGUGAAAAGGCUUAAAUGUUCUAGGGGGACGAUAAGACCCUAUAAAGCUUUACAGUGUGCUAAUUAAAUUAUAAAUUGUUAGUAUAAACUUGGUUUGGUUAGUAGCUGUUUCGUUGGGGCGACGAAAAUAUAAUUGAUAGUAACUGUUUUUCUUUUAUAAUAACAAUAAAUUUUUGGUAGAAAUUGAUCCUUUAUUAAAGAUUAAAAGAUUAAGUUACUUUAGGGAUAACAGCGUAAUCUUCUUUGAGAGUUCAUAUCGACAAGAAGGGUCGCGAUUGAUCUGAGU
This 330-nucleotide ribosomal RNA is filed under the name Metapenaeus ensis. RNAcentral describes it as "partial large subunit ribosomal RNA". Lineage: Eukaryota; Metazoa; Arthropoda; Malacostraca; Decapoda; Penaeidae. The record is from RNAcentral.